GACGGCGUGCCUUUUGCAUAAUGAGCCUACGAGUUAACGUUGCUGGCAAGGAUAAGUGGUUAAGCCACGGAUCCGUAGCGAAAGCGAGUCUGAAUAGGGCGCUUUAGUCAGUAGUGUUAGACGCGAAACCGUGUGAUCUACCCAUGGACAGGUUGAAGCUUUGUUAACCCAAAGUGGAGGACCGAACCCGUUGACGUUGAAAAGUCUUGGGAUGAUCUGUGGGUAGGGGUGAAAGGCCAAUCAAACUCGGAAAUAGCUCGUACUCCCCGAAAUGCAUUUAGGUGCAGCGUUAUGGUUAAAGUUAUAUAGAGGUAGAGCUACUGAUUGGAUGCGGGGGCUUCACCGCCUACCAAUUCCUGACAAACUCCGAAUGCUAUAUAAUGUUUCAUAACAGUGAGGGCUUGGGUGCUAAGGUCCAAGUCCGAGAGGGAAAGAACCCAGACCAUCAGCUAAGGUCCCCAAAUAUAUACUAAGUUGAAAGAACGAGGUUUGUCUGCAUAGACAGCUAGGAUGUUGGCUUGGAAGCAGCCAUUCAUUUAAAGAGUGCGUAACAGCUCACUAGUCGAGCGGACGAGCAUGGAUAAUAAUCGGGCAUAAGUAUAUUACCGAAGCUAUGGAUUUAGAGUUUACUCUAAGUGGUAGGGGAGCAUUCUAACAGGGUAGAAGGUGUGUCGUAAGGCAUGCUGGACUGGUUAGAAAAGAAAAUGUAGGCAUAAGUAACGAUAAUGCGGGCGAGAAACCCGCACACCGAAAGACUAAGGUUUCCACAGCUAUGCUAAUCAGCUGUGGGUUAGUCGGGACCUAAGGCGAACCCGAAAGGGACAGUCGAUGGACAACGGGUUAAUAUUCCCGUACUACUGUUAACUGUGAUGGGGUGACGGAGUGAUGAAAGUGCCGCGAACUGACGGAAUAGUUCGUUGAAGUACCUACCUAUAAGGCCCGCAGGCAAAUCCACGGGCUUUGGGGAAAUACGAUAGUACUCGGCGUCUUCGGACAAAGAGAUAGUGCACCUAAGGGCUUCCAAGAAAAACCUCUAAACUUCAGGUUAAUAGUACCCGUACCGCAAACCGACACAGGUAGUCGAGAUGAGAAUUCUAAGGUGCUCGAGAGAUUCAUGGCUAAGGAAUUAGGCAAAAUAGACCCGUAACUUCGGGAGAAGGGUCGCCAGCAGCAAUGCUGGCCGCAGUGAAGAGGUCCAGGCGACUGUUUAUCAAAAACACAGGGCUCUGCAAAAUCGUAAGAUGAAGUAUAGGGCCUGACACCUGCCCGGUGCUGGAAGGUUAAGUGGAGAUGUUAUUCGCAAGAAGAAGCAUUGAAAUGAAGCCCCAGUAAACGGCGGCCGUAACUAUAACGGUCCUAAGGUAGCGAAAUUCCUUGUCGGGUAAGUUCCGACCUGCACGAAUGGUGUAACGAUCUGGACACUGUCUCAGCCAUGAGCUCGGUGAAAUUGUAGUAGCGGUGAAGAUGCCGCUUACCCGCAGUGGGACGAAAAGACCCUGUGCACCUUUACUAUAGCUUAGUAUUGACCUUGGAUAAAUGAUGUGUAGGAUAGGUUGGAGACU
RNAcentral lists this ribosomal RNA (1562 nucleotides) under Flavobacterium frigidarium DSM 17623. Its description in RNAcentral is "bacterial LSU rRNA". It matches the Rfam family "Bacterial large subunit ribosomal RNA", at positions 595 to 2156 of the family's 2925-position model. Lineage: Bacteria; Pseudomonadati; Bacteroidota; Flavobacteriia; Flavobacteriales; Flavobacteriaceae. The record is from RNAcentral.